CCAGUGAGGGUGAAGAACCAGAGCAACAGCAAUAGCAUCAUGGAAGCCAAGUGAGCAAGGACUCCAGCAGGGCAGCUCGUCAGCUGCCGUGGGAGACAGGUCAGGUCCGCUAAGGCUGGAUUUGCCAUGAGAGUAAGCGAACAUCUCACUGGCCCAGACAUCACUGAACCACACCUACGUGGACUACAUCAAAUGACAUGGGAUUUGGAGAGGGGAUUUUUUAUGGUGUUUGUUUCUUUGGAUUUUCUUGUAGUGCUGGGUUAGAUCCCACAGCUUUACCUGUUUCAAUAAAGAAAUGAUCAACUGGAAAUGUGUAUGUGGGGGGCAUGUUGUGCGAUUCUGGCUUAUUAAUCCUCUUCCUCCCCUCGUCUGUACCUCUGUCUUCAUGCCAAUCCCUCAUUGUCUGGAGGACAUUUUGAUAGGACAUUGGAAAGUCUGAGUCUCCAACGUUGCUCU
RNAcentral lists this long non-coding RNA (456 nucleotides) under Cricetulus griseus (Chinese hamster). Its description in RNAcentral is "lncRNA (ENSCGRG00015040151.1)". The record is from RNAcentral. Lineage: Eukaryota; Metazoa; Chordata; Mammalia; Rodentia; Cricetidae.